Molecule: ribosomal RNA, 496 nt
Filed under: uncultured bacterium
Lineage: Bacteria
Description: partial 16S ribosomal RNA
Rfam family: Bacterial small subunit ribosomal RNA
Source: RNAcentral
AUGAACGCUGGCGGCGUGCCUAAUACAUGCAAGUCGAGCGAACAGACGAGGAGCUUGCUCCUCUGACGUUAGCGGCGGACGGGUGAGUAACACGUGGAUAACCUAUCUAUAAGACUGGGAUAACUUCGGGAAACCGGAGCUAAUACCGGAUAAUAUAUUGAACCGCAUGGUUCAAUAGUGAAAGACGGUUUUGCUGUCACUUAUAGAUGGAUCCGCGCCGCAUUAGCUAGUUGGUAAGGUAACGGCUUACCAAGGCAACGAUGCGUAGCCGACCUGAGAGGGUGAUCGGCCACACUGGAACUGAGACACGGUCCAGACUCCUACGGGAGGCAGCAGUAGGGAAUCUUCCGCAAUGGGCGAAAGCCUGACGGAGCAACGCCGCGUGAGUGAUGAAGGUCUUCGGAUCGUAAAACUCUGUUAUUAGGGAAGAACAAAUGUGUAAGUAACUAUGCACGUCUUGACGGUACCUAAUCAGAAAGCCACGGCUAACUACGUG